UCUGUCUCUCCCCCACCCCCCCAGCUGGCCUUGGCAUUCUAACCAGUGUCCCUUGACGUCACAUCUCGCCAUUUCUGUCAACCAAUUGAAACUUGCCCGUUGUCAUAAAAAUAUAUAUACUUUUUAUACCAUUGGUAAAUUCAAAAGUUCCUCGUGUGCCCUGCUUGCGAGGGAACUUCAUUCCACACCGGAGUGGGCUGCCAGGAAGGGGGAUUGGCCACACGGAGCGAGGCCGGGCUGGGCAGCACUGCCAGGGCCUCGGCUGCCCACCGGCUGGGCUUCCUAGGUUCCCAGACCCCUACUCCAUGAACCCCCCUCCAGACACACCACUGUGACCUUGGCCUUGAGCUGGCUCAACACCCCCCUCCACCCACAACAUGCCCACCACCCUAUGAAGUACAGCAUUUUUGAGGAGGAAGGGAGGAUACAUUAGAAACCUUCCAGAAUUACUUUCCUGGGGUUGGGGGGUGGGUGCAAUCUUCCUGCGGCCUUUUCUUUCUAGACACACACGGCUUUGCUUUUCUCUAUCAGAAGACCCGGUUUUAGAAAAUGGAGAAGUGUUUCCCAGUUAAAUCUUCUCACUGAAAUCCUGAUCAACUUUCACUUUCCACAUUUGCCAGACAUCACAGAAAGGACACAAGCCGGGUGAUUUUCCUAGGGGGGGUACCCAAGAAAAGGGUCCAGGAUGGCCCUCGCAGUUUCGGGAUGGCCCUCCCGGCCUCAAGGGUGGUGGGCCUGUGAGCUGGAAGCCCAGAAUUCCAUGCUCUUCCUUCCUCCAAAAAGGAUGCCAAGACUCGGCAAUGCCAUACCCACUUUCUAGCGAUAAGAACAGACUUCAGUGUGCCUGUGGCUAACAGUGAUCAGCGGAAUGCCCCAUGCUUUCUCCCGGCUGAUGGAUGCGAACCCCAAAUCCAUGCAACCUUUUGUGAGCAGCUGUUAAAGUCAUUUUUAACCUACUUUGGAAUCCCACCCAUUCACUGUUCACUAUGUGUUAUGUGUGUGUGUAACAUCAGAAAGAAGUCUAACAACCCUGAACGCAUCCUUCAGGGGUUAUUAUUUUUCAAAUAGAAGUAAAGCAAAACAUAAAAGAAGUCUACAAUAAAUGUGUGUUCAAUAAUAUAUGUAUAUACAUAUGUAUGCACAUACACAGACAUAUAUACACACACACAUAUGCUCAUAUAUAUGUGAAUACACUGUAUAGACGACGUAUAUGCCAGUGAGAAAAAUUUCCCCUUAUAAAUGAGGAAUUACAAUUAAUAUUUUCCAUGCCAAAGUAGUAACCACACAAAUCAGAAAUUAUUAAUUAAAGAUGAUGGGCAAAUGUCCCUGGUCAUAUAUACUAUGUCAAAUGCCAGAGCUUGAUUCUUGAGUUUAUAAAAGGGAUGAAAAAAGGCGCAGUACAAACUAAAUUUAAAAAAAAAUCCAAAAUACCUUUCAAAGAGAAGGGAGUGUUCUGUUUAUUUUAGUAGCUCAAUUCUGCAAAAGGGAAUCAUCAUAAAUUGUGAAAUAACAUUUUUCGCAGAUUUAUUAGCAAUUUAAAAUAUAUUAGAAUUUGGAGUUUAACAGUUUUUAGUAAUAAAAAAUGCCAAUUUCCAAGAAAACGAAAGGAGGUCAGAAAAUCUGAAAAGAAUUUCAUUCCUAAAGUGUCCAAGGAAUGCCUCCUUUUUACAGUUGAAGAACCUCGAUUUAUUUAAAGUAUUUUUGUAUCCUAUCAACCCUUUACUGAGGCUUGAAAUCAUCGUUAUUUUUUAGUGACCACAUAUUCUUUUUCAAUUCUAUAUCUAAGCAGAUUUUAUCUGUGUCAAUGUCAACUUUAAGGACUGUCAACUGUUUACGUUUUGACUCCAAAAAUUUUAAAUAAUGCUGAAAUGCUAAUGAAGAUCAGCUGAAUUUUGUUGCUUUCCCACAGAUGAUAUGAGAACCUUCGUACUAUCUUUUAACUCUACAGUUCUUCAGUCUGCUAGUAAAUUAUAAGCCCUUGGAAUAAAGAAACAGUCUGAAAAAGAAAAAGAAAGAGAGAGAAACAACCCUGAUUUAGAGCUCAAAUGGUUCAUUGUUAAGCUGCAAGGGACAGCAGGAACUUUUUUUUUUUUUAA
This is a long non-coding RNA of Trichechus manatus latirostris (Florida manatee), 2096 nucleotides long. RefSeq lists it as uncharacterized. The record is from RefSeq and is a predicted model, not a curated record. NCBI's taxonomy places the organism in Eukaryota, Metazoa, Chordata, Mammalia, Sirenia, Trichechidae. The transcript is spliced from 2 exons.